UCGCUGAAGAGAGCGACACCGAGCAGGGUCAGCACUCGUAUUUCCCUUCCGCAAGCCCUUACCGGCCAAGGCUCGUAGUUGCCCCGAGAAGCGGCUCCGCGGCUCGUCACAGGCCCGCCCUGACCCCCGGCGGAGCACGGAGAAGAAGACGAGGAGGAAGAGGCGGAGGGGGAAGAGGAAGCCCUGCCCGCCGAGCGACUUUCGAAUGUCGCGGCCGGCGGGCGACCGCCCCUCAGGAGCGGCCCCUCCCCUGCGCUCCGCCGGCGCCGGAGGAGCUCCCCCGCCCUCAGCGGCCGCCGCCCCCGCGGCCUUCGGGCUGGAAGGCCGAACGCUGAGGCGCUGCUGCUGCCGCCCGCCCCGGCCCGCGGAGCUAAACCGCUCCUGCAAUGCCUCAGGAAAGGCCGAGGGUUCUUCUGAAGGACAUACGUCACCCAAACAUUAGGUUUCUGCAGGUAUACAAGUCUGUGAGUUGCUGUCCUUUCAGGACCACUGGAUUCAAUCUUUCAAGAUCUCCCUGCAUCCAUCUGCCAUGCUGACUGCCCCCGAAGCUGCAGAGCAAUCCAGGAAGCAAAGGAGCUACAGAAGCAAAACAAGGAAUCUCUCCAAGGAAGCCUGGAACAAAUUCAAAAGUGAGGAAAGCAAAUGAAUCAAAGACAUAACAAAGACCUAGACUUCAUGUACCUAACUUAGUUGUAGUGCUGUCUUUGCUGUUAGACUACUGCCAGGGUCUUUGCUUUUCUUUGGCUAAUACUUUGUGGCUUUAUAAAUAAGACUGGUGAAGUUAAGAGGAGUAAGCAACAGAAAUUUCAUUAUGCAGAUUUUCAGAAGUGGGAAAGAGAAGUGGAAACCCCAGUAUGCCCGUGCCUUGCUCUGACACAGACAAGAGGGUGGACUAUGAGUCUUGCAAAUGUGUAUAUUGCAGAUCAUGUUUUUUUAUGAAGAUAAGAGCUUCUGGCCCGCUGCCAUGAAUGUUGCAGUGACCACUUUGACCUGCAGCCCCUCUGUGAAACAACGCAAUUCCUUUAAGGCAAAAAAAAGGCUGCUAGUGUAUUUAUGAGAGCCCAGUUACUCAGAACACCAUUGCCUUUUAAAAAGGAAGAAUGAUCCUGACUUCCAGAAGUGAUUCACUCUCUGCAAUUCCAUCAGGUCUUGCCAUGUAAUAUUACAAGUGAAUUCUGCUAAGCAGCACAUCACAGUUUAAGAAAGUGGGUACCGUUUAUCCUUUAAGGUUAUAGUUACACAGUCUCUCCAAGCAACUUGAGAGACAGGCAAAGUUCAGUAAGGUGAUGCAAAGUUUCACUAAAUAUGAAGGAAACAAUCUGUUUAGUAUCAGUUUAAAGCUAUUUCCAGGACCUUUUCAAAACUUGAAGAUACUAAAAGAAAGUGGAGUGAGUGUUUCUAGGUUAAGAAUAUCUUUACAUCACCCAGGGAGCAGCUGGCAGGGCUAGCUGAUAUAAACUUCUGCUGUGGACUGAUGUAUGCAACUUUCUUAUGACCAUACUGUGUUAUUAUACAAUGAUACUUGAACAUAUUAAAUCAGAUUUGCAAUGGGUACUGUUUUCCUAACAUAAAAACUGUGUUGGUUAAAGUCAGGCAAAGGAUUAAUACUCGCCAAGGUACUUCUCUUAUUAUUUAGAUAUCCUUUCAGUAUAAGCCAUAGCAGCAGGAACACUCCACAUCCCCACACUCACAAGCAGUUUCCCACAUGGCAUGUGUCCCAUGCACACCGUGGGAGCAUAUGGAGUGACAUGUUAAAUGUCUUUUAGUAGCAUAAUUCUAAAAAAGGCCACAUUAUUCAGUCCUGGUCAUGAGUAAGUGCCAUACAUCAUCCUCAAAUUGUAUUAAUACAUUUGCUCCUAUUGUCGUGAUACAGAGUCCUUAUAAAUCACAUUUCUUCAAGCCAUAAAGCAUCUUAUAUUUACUUGCUAACAUGUGUGUGAUCAUACCCAUUUGUUGGCACACCUGAGCUCUCUCCCUAUGGGUAAGGAUUAAACCUUUUCUGUCAUUCUCAAAAGAGUGAAUCUUUUUGCAAUCCCAUCUCCAGAACAGAAUGCGAUUUCUCAGAAAUACACGUAGAAGCUGGCAAUGCUCCUUUUCCUGUAUUGUUUGAUGAUGUCAAAAUCAGUUAAACUUCUGUUUUUUCUGUAUUUUUGCUAUUUUCCACUGAAGAUUCUGUUUCCCAUAAUAUUCAGCUCUAUAAAAAAGAAAAGCCCCAAGGUCAAAUGUUGAGUCUUACUGAUAUUUGUCCCAGGCUAUGCCUAUAUCCCAGAGAUCUGCUCCCUCAGUGCCUGAGGUGGCUCUUGGAUAUUGUACGAAAUGUCUAAAUUCAGGGCAGACUGUAAUUAUUGAAACCAAGGGAAUAGAGAAGAAUUCUUGACUGUAGUACAGUAAAUGCCAAAAAUUGUCUCUUUGCAGAGACUGUCUGAUUCACACUGAAUCAUUGCUCUCAUACUAAAUAAACAGUGAAUGCAUUCUAAAAUCCUGGUUCAAACAAAUCUUUCUUCAGUACUACAAACUAAUUAAAGUUGUGCAGUCCAGAGGGAAAUCUGAUUUCUUUCAUGUUUUCAGGGGAGAGGAGGAAUAGGUUUAAAAUAUAUUCACAAUCAGCCAGUGGUUCAUGAUAAAUUAAGGCAUGAUAAGGUAAAUAAGUGUUAAAGGUCCAACUGCAUAUUGCUGGUAAGUGUCCACUUACCAUAUCCUGGUAAGUGAAGGGAAAGGUCUGAUUCUUUCAUCUAAGUUCUCUAUUUUCAGAAGUUUUCAAUCUAGGAAUAGAUCCCAGCUCUAUACUUAGCAGGGAUACUACUGUUUUUCAGCAAAAUUCUGGAGACUUUUGUAAAGAGAAAGCAGUACAGAGAGAACAGAGCAGCUAGGACACUCUGCAACCUUAUCUAGUAUAUGUUUAAUUUUAAAUCACUUCUUGGCUUGAAAUGGUAGGCUUUGAUUUUGUUUUGCCUAGCAAACAUUCUGAUAAUGGAGUCCUUGAAUAAAACCAAGCAACUUUUACAGUAGUGAGGUAGACUGCUUAAAACUCACAUCUCUCCUUGCUUGUCAGAGACCUCAUUUAGCCAUUAUUUCACACUCACAUGACCCAUCAGUAACAGUCUGUUAGUGAUCCUCACCAGCCUUUCCCUGACAACAUUGGAGAGGAAAACAGAAGCAUUUUUUGCCCUUCUUGUCCUUUCUUUUUUACAUGGGACACUAUCUCUGCCCUCCUGCCUCUCCUUCACUGCAUGAAGUAGGCUGUUCAGCUACUGGAAAUGUUUGGUGUACAUGAAAACACCAUGCUUCAGCCAGAGGGAAAUGGAGCAUGAACAAUUUGGUUUUCAGGGCAGAGGUGUGAAAAAGCAUGUUUCCUCUUGUUCACAAACAGCUAAUAUUGUGCAUUUAUGGGAACUGCACAGUGUGAGGAAUAUGUGUUAGCAUGCUUAGCUAACCCAGAUUUGCAAAAUAGCACAGCAGUUAAGAGUACAGUAUCUGCUUGUCUGCCUAGAACAGGAAAUCAAACUAUUUCAUUUGUUUUCAGCAGGAAUAAAAUAAAGAAAUGACCAGUUUCCCAGACAGCAAUUAACAUAUGCCUACUUUCUGCAACAAAGUAUGUGGUUCAAUUAGUGCAACUGAGAACCUCUGUAGUGAUGUGUAGAUUACAUGCUGGCAUUCCUCUGGCAAAAGGCAAGAACCAACAGAAACAACUGUUCAGAGAUCAGGGUGAUAGGUAGGGUGUCUAGAUUCUAGAUUCUGCUGCAUCCUAGAGCUUAGGAGUGGUAAAGUUUUCUGCUGGAGACAGGGAUGGUGGAAAUGCCUGGUUUUUAAGGACCACUGAGAGGCUGUACUUGCUUUGGUUUGCAAAUGUUCAGAGAACCUCAAGAUGUUAAGAACAAUGGUGCUAAACUGGAAAUUCACAGAGCAUCCAAGUUUUCACUAACAAGUAGUUUAGGCUUCUGCAGCUUGCUUUAAGUUUGGUAGCAGGUACUACAGCUGCUGGCAUGCAGGCUUAUUUCUCUACAAAAACACCGCUUUUUUCAGAUUACUCCUAUGCUCAAGUUUUUCUGAGGUGCGAAAGCAGUCAAUCUCCAUGUAAAAGCAGCUGUCAUAACAGCAUACUUGCUGAGGGCAGCUGCAACAGGUGGAAAUAACCAUACUCCUCAGACCACGGAUAACGUUUGUCUAACAAGAUAUUUUGGCUCCAGAGUUUAAGAUCAACCCACAGCCCUUCCUGCAGUGCUCAGUUCAUCUGUGGCACAGACUCCUAGGAACAGGAUCCAAAGAGAAGUUGGAUCAGUACUUGAAAGACAAAUUCACUGAGAGUUUUUAAAAAGAGAGAAGAAACCUCCUGCUCAGAAAACCUCAUCAGCUAAAAAAGCUUGAGGUCGUGAAAUUUGAAUGAAAUGUCAUAUAUAUUUGCUUCACAUCUACCCUUCCUUCAUGCCUACUCCUGGAAGUUACUUGGCUGGAUGGCCCAUCUAACCUGUGAUGGCUGCUCAUUUGUUCCAAUAACAAAUUUACAUAGGCCUGCUCUGCUCAAGUUCAAGGUCUCUCAAGAUCAAAAUGUGAAAACCAAAGUUCAUUCUCUAGAAUUUUUGAAAGUUUAAUGAGGGAAUAAAAAGGGACAAUGUCCAGCUCUGGGGUGUUUCUGGCUAUUGGCCAAAGAACACACAGGUGGAUAAGACAGUGUUAUCAACGUACUGUUAUGUUACUAAGGUACAUGCAUAUUCAUGUGUUUCAUAAUUAUUCAAACAUUCUUGUGAGCUUUUUGAUGUUUCAGGAACUCUUUUGUUUGGUUUUACACUCUGAUUUAUUUGCAUGACAUCCUAUGAGUUAGGUCAAUAUAUUUUAUUUCUUCUUGUUUUCCAUCCUGUUGUUUCACACUCCCUGAUAAGGAGUUGACAAGUUCUUCUCCAAUUCUUCUCCAGUGCUCUGGUUUGUAUCACUGUUAUCUUAUCACUUGGAAAUAUAAUAUAUUCAUCACAUUACUAUUUCUAUAAGCUAUAAGGUGCAAAACUACUAGAUUGUGUUAUAAUACUAAGCAGCUAAAAGGAGUUAAAAACUGUACCAUAUUCAAAUACUUAUGAUCAAUAACAACAUCUAAAAGCUAUUAAAUAAAUGCAAAAGCCAAUAUUAUAUUGUCAUUUUUAACAGAAACUUCUUUACCAAGUCCAGUGCCAACUGUAUUCAUCUGUGAAAGACCUUGUGGCAUCCAAAAGACAAACCUGCUCCACAAAGCAAGCAUGAUCACAGACAGAACAAAAAAAAGUGUAACACUUCUGAGCCUGACAAAGAUCUUCGAGAAAUACAAGCACAGGCCUGCACAUAGAAGUUGUUACUGCAAGUGAAUUCAAUUUGCUUAGCAUUAACCAUGAGGAAAAAGUUAUUUUUGAUACAAAGAAGGCAUACAGGUGUCCAGAAACAAAUGCUAGACUCAAAACACACUCUUCCCUCAGUCUGUGUUCAGUGUUAAAGGGUACAAUUUCCUGGCUGAGGAAGCACCUCCAAGAGAGAGGCUGACAAUAGUGAUACCGUUUACAACAGCCAUCAGAAUCACAACUAGAGCUGUGUAAAAACAGGAGAGCCAAAGAUUUGUCCCUGAAGUUUUGCAGUUUCUUGAAAUCACUAUACAAGACUCAUAGUGAGACACAUGCAACAAAGCCCAAAACAAGUAGCAUUUUGGUUGAAAAAGAAACCAGUGCAGGAAAAGACCCAAAAUUCCUUCAUGCAGUAUGAGCAAGAAACAUGAAAAUGCACUGCACAUGAAUAAAAUUUGUGAAAUUUAGUUCAAAGGUGGGUGUGGAAGGAGAGAAAAGGAAGGCAAGUAUGAGAGAAAAGGUGUCACAGUUACAUCCUAGCAAAAACAGCACAGAUAAGAACAGCUGAGUGAAUGGACCAAACAGCCUAGCAUGGGUAUAGUUUCUUGUAGGCAAGUAGACUUGCAAACAUUAUUAAUUGGUCUACCAACAAAAGAUGCAGAGGGGAAGCCUUCUUUUAUUAUCCAUCUCUGAUAAAUUUGCUAA
Molecule: long non-coding RNA, 6005 nt
Organism: Cyanistes caeruleus (blue tit)
Lineage: Eukaryota; Metazoa; Chordata; Aves; Passeriformes; Paridae
Source: RefSeq, a predicted model, not a curated record